UCCUUCUCUCUCUCUGACUGAUGUGUGUUCUUCCACACUCUAUCUUGUGUCAGUUAAUAGUUAACGGCAACAGAGCAGAGUUGUCGUGGCACCACGACCUAGACACCUGGCACGUUCUGAGCGCCCUCCAACCCGGGCACCCCGGAUCAGCUGACUCACCAUGGGAAACUAUAUAUGUGGUACACUGAGGAAGAAGAAAAAUAAAGAUGGAGAUGACAGUGAUGAUCAGAGCAGCCCAGACACAGAAAAGAAGGAAGAGGAUGUGACAUACGCCACCAUUGACCAUAGCAACACCAAGACAACAGGUGUCAUAAUAGAUUCUCACACUAACGACUGUGACUACGCCAUUGUUAAACCUCCAACUUGCCUCGCCCACCAGUCGUUAAUUAAAGAAGACUGUGCAGAUGACUAUGUCUUCAUGGGCUGACCUCAUGUACAAUGUGUGUGUGUGUGUGGGGGGGGACAUUUUGAAGGGGGACAAUGGAGAUGCAAGGUGGACAUAGGCCUGGGGCAAGCUGGACAGCACCUUCCUGGACCAAAAUACCCUAGAUGUGACUAUGAUAGCGCCCACAAAUGGAACUUUUCUUGAUGCAGUGUGGUUGCAGGAAUUAUGUGCUUCUAUAGUUAUGUUUAAUUAUGUUUUACAGUCACAUUAUGCUUAUGUUAAUGUUUACAUUUUUUUCCCUAAGAGAAACGGAUGCUUUAGUUCAAACUUUCUAUGUGGUUUAUUUGGCCUCUUGACAGAGGGAACAUACAGGCCAGAGAUUCAAAGGCUAUAGCUAUCAUACUGACCCCUGAGAUACAACUACCAACCACACCACACACACACCCUGGGAGAGAUGAGAUGUUUAUGGUUUGCGAUAGAAUUAUGUGUUUGAAUUUUAUGCAAAAUAUUUUCUUUGCACAAAUCUAUUUGAAUGAGAUACAGUAAGGUGAGAGCGGGAUUGGAGAUACUGUUGUUUUGUGAACCGGUCUUAGCUGUUUCUCAAAAUCACCAGGAACUGUUGUAUCCUAUCAAUGAUGGAUGCAAAGAUGGAUUAAAUCAACAUCGUUAGAACUUUUGUAUCCUUACAUUUAUAACAUCAAUGGCAACAAUCAACGGCAGACAAUUUUCUGCAACUUCAAGAUUGAAUCAAUUAAUAUUUUGGGGCUUCUUUAAUACUAAAGAGAAGAAGACAAAGAGUAACUGUCAAAGACGUAAAUAGCCAAUAAUGUGGAUCCUUAGCAGGUAAAAAAUAGAACCUCUGUCAAAAUAGAUCAAUUUAGCUCCCUAUUUAGUCAGCAUUAAUCACAAAUCACAUAAUAGCCUACAGCUUAAGUAUGUUAACCAAAACAUGUUUCAAUUCAAGGUCCAUGCUCAUCAAAAUGGAUCAUAUGGACUGAUAAUCAGCAGGUGAUUGUUUCAAAUCCUAGGUGAGCCACACUAUAGAUUCAACCUAUAUGUUGCUUUGUCACUCUAUAUCACUAAGCCUACUUAUACUGGACUUCCUUUACUAGUCUCCUACACUACUCCCUUGAUCUGUCAUAACUGGGUUUCUAACAUCACAAAAUUUGUGAAAGCAAGAUGGAGGAAAAUCCACCAUGAGUUUUCACAUUACUGUAUUCCCCUGUCCUUCUUCUUUGAGAUUUGUGGUUAGGAAAGAGGUGAACUCAUAGAAAAUGUCUUUGUGGAAAGGAAAUCUAAGCUGCAGUCCAAGCACGUAAUUUUUAACCCCUCAGCCCUUGCGCUAGCUACUUUCGCUUUGGGGAAUCUGGAUGCAGUUUGAUUGCCAUCUUAAGUGGAGGUCCAAUUCACUAACGUUGCCCCCUCGAACCCUCGAUUUAGCUUGAGGUAGCGAGUGAACAACUUUGAUCGCUUGUGGGGUUGCCAUGACCUACAUUUUAAUGAUAACUGUAGUCACAUGUUGUUAUGUUGUGUUGAUACCAUGCUGUGUUGUCAUGUGUUGCUGCCUUGCUAUGUUGUUGUCUUAGAUCUCUCUUUAUGUAGUGUUGUGUUGUCUCUCUUGUUGUGAUGUGUGUUUUUUCCUAUAUUUAUAUUGUAUUUAUUUUUUAUUUUUAAUCCCUGGCCCCCGUCCCCGCAGGAGGCCUUUUGGUAGGCCGUCAUUGUAAAUAAGAAUUUGUUCUUAACUGACUUGCCUAGUUAAAUAAAGGUUAAAUAAAUAAUAUAAUAAAUGAAAUAACAUUUAUAAAAUGUAUAAAAACAUGUCAUACUGCGGUAGCUGCGAAGUGUCACAUUUAGAUAGCUUGCAAAAGAAAUGUAUAGAUUACAUUGAUGUUUGUGUUCGCAAAUUGGCUUUGUCUCCUAGUGAGGACCCUGUAAAACGUAGCUACCUUCAUAAACGGAUUUUGGGGAAUUCUGAAAACUAUUAGAAUAAAUGACUGUAAAACUAGCUAGCCAACUAGCUGACAGGAGUGCAAGCUAGCUAAGUUAGCUUGCUAGGUACAUUAAUAGCUUUAGGUUGAUUGUUUUUAUGCUCAAUUUCAAGAUUUCCACCAUGGACGUUGUUUCUCCGAUCAUCACUCAUCGUCACUUGGGUAAGGGACAUUUAAGGUACACUCGGAUGUGAAGAUGUAAAACUUAAUUCAAGAGCUGAGGGCUGUCUACUUUGAAUUUGGAAUGCAGCCCUUAACACACCCUCUUUCUCAUAAAAUUAGUUCACCUAUAUUCUCCAGCAGAGGGUGCACAUCCCCUGCUUUAUGGAAAGCACUCAACAGUAUGCCAACGAUAUUGAUAACUAACCCAAGAUAGUUCAUCUGUGUUGUUUACAGUGGGAGCAAAUUAUACAUAGUGGGCAGAAUAAGCAAUGAGGUGGACAAAGUCAUGCACGAGCUAGCGAGAUCCUACUGGUGCAUUGUAGCAUGUAUUUGCAUAUUUCCAUUAGGGAAUGCCUCCAUUGUGAAGUGUGUGUGGGUGCAAACCCAAUUCGACCCAGCACUCCUUUUAAAACAACGCAAUUUACAAAAAACUUUGACAGAACGUCAAGUCUAUUAAACUUAGUGCACUGUGUUCAUAACAUAUUCUAGUUUUAGGAACAGAAAGAUGUUUCAUCAAUGAGAACAUUUGCAGAAUGUCGGCCCAGUUUCAGUUAGUUCCAACCUCCCUCACAAUCCGUGACUGGACUUCCUCUCACUCACAUAUUUGGUGAUGAGAAAACUUUCUAGACAGAUGUUUCAGAUUUAUAGCCCCUAUGUUGUGUCUGGGGUACCCCAUUCUGUCUGUGAGUAUACUGUAUCAUGUCACAUCCUAUGAAAUUGACCAAUACAAACAAAC
Oncorhynchus tshawytscha (Chinook salmon) is the source of this 3271-nucleotide long non-coding RNA. Lineage: Eukaryota; Metazoa; Chordata; Actinopteri; Salmoniformes; Salmonidae. The record is from Ensembl.